RNAcentral lists this ribosomal RNA (760 nucleotides) under uncultured Corynebacterium sp. Its description in RNAcentral is "bacterial SSU rRNA". It matches the Rfam family "Bacterial small subunit ribosomal RNA", at positions 28 to 776 of the family's 1533-position model. Lineage: Bacteria; Bacillati; Actinomycetota; Actinomycetes; Mycobacteriales; Corynebacteriaceae. The record is from RNAcentral.
GACGAACGCUGGCGGCGUGCUUAACACAUGCAGGUCGAACGGAAAGGCCCCCACCUUUGGUGGGGGUGCUCGAGUGGCGAACGGGUGAGUAACACGUGGGUGAUCUGCCCUGCACUUCGGGAUAAGCUUGGGAAACUGGGUCUAAUACCGGAUAGGACCAUGGUUUAGCGUCUCAUGGUGGAAAGAUUAUUGUUUUGGUGUAGGAUGAGCCCGCGGCCUAUCAGCUUGUUGGUGGGGUAAUGGCCUACCAAGGCGUCGACGGGUAGCCGGCCUGAGAGGGUGGACGGCCACAUUGGGACUGAGAUACGGCCCAGACUCCUACGGGAGGCAGCAGUGGGGAAUAUUGCACAAUGGGCGCAAGCCUGAUGCAGCGACGCCGCGUGGGGGAUGACGGCCUUCGGGUUGUAAACUCCUUUCGUUAGGGACGAAGCCACGCUUUUUUUGGGUGUGGUGACGGUACCUUUGUUAAGAAGCACCGGCUAACUACGUGCCAGCAGCCGCGGUAAUACGUAGGGUGCGAGCGUUGUCCGGAAUUACUGGGCGUAAAGAGCUCGUAGGUGGUUUGUUGCGUCGUCUGUGAAAUUCCGGGGCUUAACUUCGGGGUGGCAGGCGAUACGGGCAUAACUAGAGUGCUGUAGGGGAGACUGGAAUUCCUGGUGUAGCGGUGGAAUGCGCAGAUAUCAGGAGGAACACCGAUGGCGAAGGCAGGUCUCUGGGCAGUAACUGACGCUGAGGAGCGAAAGCAUGGGGAGCGAACAGG